GUGAAUCAUCAAAUCUUUGAACGCAAAUUGCGCUUCCUAGCAUCCCGGGGAGUAUGCCUGUUUGAGGGUCAGUAUUAACAACAAAAUCGGUUUGGUUGCAAAUUGUGACGUUUCAGGAGUUUGGGCUAUCGUGACUUUUUUGGUUAGGGGCGUCACAUUGACCUUUUUUGCGCAUUUUUAGACGUACAUAAAUUUUUUUUUUUUUCGU
Molecule: unclassified non-coding RNA, 208 nt
Filed under: Rhizophagus sp. (in: glomeromycetes)
Lineage: Eukaryota; Fungi; Glomeromycota; Glomeromycetes; Glomerales; Glomeraceae
Description: partial contains 5.8S ribosomal RNA and internal transcribed spacer 2
Rfam family: 5.8S ribosomal RNA (bases 1-71)
Source: RNAcentral